This 353-nucleotide ribosomal RNA is filed under the name uncultured bacterium. RNAcentral describes it as "bacterial SSU rRNA". It matches the Rfam family "Bacterial small subunit ribosomal RNA", at positions 8 to 350 of the family's 1533-position model. The record is from RNAcentral.
AGAGUUUGAUCCUGGCUCAGGAUGAACGCUAGCUACAGGCUUAACACAUGCAAGUCGAGGGGAAACGACAUCGAAAGCUUUGCUUUUGAUGGGCGUCGACCGGCGCACGGGUGAGUAACGCGUAUCCAACCUGCCCAUCACUUGGGGAUAACCUUGCGAAAGUAAGACUAAUACCCAAUGACGUCUCUAGAAGACAUCUGAAAGAGAUUAAAGAUUUAUCGGUGAUGGAUGGGGAUGCGUCUGAUUAGCUUGUUGGCGGGGUAACGGCCACCAAGGCGACGAUCAGUAGGGGUUCUGAGAGGAAGGUCCCCCANAUUGGAACUGAGACACGGUCCAAACUCCUACGGGAGGCA